GACGAACGCUGGCGGCGUGCUUAACACAUGCAAGUCGAACGGAAAGGCCCUUCGGGGUACUCGAGUGGCGAACGGGUGAGUAACACGUGGGUGAUCUGCCCUGCACUUUGGGAUAAGCCUGGGAAACUGGGUCUAAUACCGAAUAGGACCACGCGCUUCAUGGUGUGUGGUGGAAAGCUUUUGCGGUGUGGGAUGGGCCCGCGGCCUAUCAGCUUGUUGGUGGGGUAAUGGCCUACCAAGGCGACGACGGGUAGCCGGCCUGAGAGGGUGGCCGGCCACACUGGGACUGAGAUACGGCCCAGACUCCUACGGGAGGCAGCAGUGGGGAAUAUUGCACAAUGGGCGCAAGCCUGAUGCAGCGACGCCGCGUGAGGGAUGACGGCCUUCGGGUUGUAAACCUCUUUCAAUAGGGACGAAGCGCAAGUGACGGUACCUAUAGAAGAAGCACCGGCCAACUACGUG
This 462-nucleotide ribosomal RNA is filed under the name uncultured bacterium. RNAcentral's name for it is "partial 16S ribosomal RNA". It matches the Rfam family "Bacterial small subunit ribosomal RNA", at positions 28 to 507 of the family's 1533-position model. The record is from RNAcentral.